GUGCUUGCUUCGACAGCACAUAUACUAAAAUUAGAAUGACACAGAGAAGAUUAGCAUGGCCCCUGCUCAAGGGUGACAUGCAAAUUCAUGAAGCAUUCCAUAUUUUU
Molecule: small nuclear RNA, 107 nt
Filed under: Mus spretus (western wild mouse)
Lineage: Eukaryota; Metazoa; Chordata; Mammalia; Rodentia; Muridae
Source: RNAcentral